ACUCAAAUUUUCCGUACAACACGUACAAAUCUUUCGCCUUUUACUAAAGAUUUCCGUGUAUGGGAGAUAUCUCUUGAGAACUCCACGAUUUUUCUGAGAGCUUCUUUGAAGCUU
Molecule: small nuclear RNA, 114 nt
Organism: Tigriopus californicus
Lineage: Eukaryota; Metazoa; Arthropoda; Copepoda; Harpacticoida; Harpacticidae
Product: U5 spliceosomal RNA
Exons: 1
Source: RefSeq, a predicted model, not a curated record